This 572-nucleotide ribosomal RNA is filed under the name Kabatiella sp. DMKU-SP414. RNAcentral's name for it is "LSU rRNA". It matches the Rfam family "Eukaryotic large subunit ribosomal RNA", at positions 62 to 649 of the family's 3401-position model. Lineage: Eukaryota; Fungi; Ascomycota; Dothideomycetes; Dothideales; Saccotheciaceae. The record is from RNAcentral.
AAACCAACAGGGAUUGCCCUAGUAACGGCGAGUGAAGCGGCAACAGCUCAAAUUUGAAAGCUGGCCUUCGGGUCCGCAUUGUAAUUUGUAGAGGAUGCUUUGGGGCAGCCGCCUGUCUAAGUUCCUUGGAACAGGACGUCAUAGAGGGUGAGAAUCCCGUAUGUGACAGGACAUGGCACCCUAUGUAAAGCUCCUUCGACGAGUCGAGUUGUUUGGGAAUGCAGCUCUAAAUGGGAGGUAAAUUUCUUCUAAAGCUAAAUACCGGCGAGAGACCGAUAGCGCACAAGUAGAGUGAUCGAAAGAUGAAAAGCACUUUGGAAAGAGAGUUAAAAAGCACGUGAAAUUGUUGAAAGGGAAGCGCUUGCAAUCAGACUUGUUUUGACUGUUCGGCCGGUCUUCUGACCGGUUUACUCAGUCUGGACAGGCCAGCAUCAGUUUUGGCGGCCGGAUAAAGGCCUAGGGAAUGUGGCUCCCGCUUCGGUGGGAGUGUUAUAGCCCUGGGUGUAAUACGGCCAGCCGGGACUGAGGUCCGCGCUUCGGCUAGGAUGCUGGCGUAAUGGUUGUAAGCGACC